CGUGAGAUGUUGGGUUAAGUCCCGCAACGAGCGCAACCCUUGCCAUUAGUUGCUACGAAAGGCACGUCUAAUGGGACUGCCGGUGACAAACCGGAGGAAGGUGGGGAUGACGUCAGGUCAUCAUGGCCCUUAUGGGUAGGGCUACACACGUCAUACAAUGGCCGGUACAGAGGGCUGCCAACCCGCGAGGGGGAGCCAAUCCCAGAAAACCGGUCGUAGUCCGGAUCGUAGUCUGCAACUCGACUGCG
This 248-nucleotide ribosomal RNA is filed under the name uncultured bacterium. Its description in RNAcentral is "partial 16S ribosomal RNA". It matches the Rfam family "Bacterial small subunit ribosomal RNA", at positions 1066 to 1320 of the family's 1533-position model. The record is from RNAcentral.